Molecule: unclassified non-coding RNA, 423 nt
Filed under: Hevea brasiliensis (rubber tree)
Lineage: Eukaryota; Viridiplantae; Streptophyta; Magnoliopsida; Malpighiales; Euphorbiaceae
Source: RNAcentral
GAAGAAGGUAUUCUUUAGGAGAUAAUUGAGGAGGAGAUUGAAGGGUAUCAUGUCUGCAGUUAAAAGCAGAAUAAAGAAUCCCGAUCCAAGUAGGCUAACAUUCAGUAGCAAAAGAUAUUUUUCUGUCAAGGUAUUUGUGAGGGUGUAGGUCCAAACCAAAACCACAAGGGCGACAAUGCAAAGAUAUUGUGAGAUAGAAACUGCGUCAAGCACCACCUUCAAUAAGUCUCUUUUGACAACAUUAGCAUUCAUGAUCAUUUCCUCCAGGAAGGAUUCAUCUGUGUGAUUGUCACCAAAGCCAGGUUGCAUCCCACCAUAAACAACUUUUCUCCAUUUAGGAUGGGCUGGAGAAGAGCUUCCACUGAUGCUAGUUUCCAUUUGUAUCAUACAAUUUUACUCCAUGGCAUCUUUUUGUUCACAAAG